AUGUUCCUUGUUUUCAGUGCUGUCCUGUUUUUAGCAGCAGCUGGAGACCAACUGGUCCAGGACCAGACGUCAUGGACCAGGAGAGAGGGCGAGAGUGUCUCCUUCAGCUGCAGAGAAACUGAGCAGUGUCCUUAUGUCUACUGGUACCAGGAAAGAGCAGGGGAACCUUUUGUUAUAAUUCUACGUAUUGAUGAAGACAAUGGAGACAUUUCAGGUUACGGUCAUCCUCAAAUAGAUUACUUCUCAGCCUUGAAAAGGGAGAACAACUAUGAUUUGGAGAUAAAGUCAGUUAAACGGUCCCAUUCUGCCACCUACUACUGUGCCUGCUGGAAGAGUGAACUGUUGCAGUCCAUGUGCAGUGUGAACUUGGCCUCUCUGGUUUACACUGUGAUGAUAGUGAAGAGCUUGGUGUACUGCUGUGGGCUCUCCCUCCUGCUGCUCCUCAGGGACAAGAAGGGAAGUCCACCCCACACCUGGAGAAAAGCUCAUUAA
Molecule: non-coding RNA, 492 nt
Organism: Osmerus eperlanus (European smelt)
Lineage: Eukaryota; Metazoa; Chordata; Actinopteri; Osmeriformes; Osmeridae
Source: the annotation of a RefSeq genome assembly